GCGGAAUUAGCUCAAGUGGUAGAGCGCUCGCUUAGCAUGCGAGAGGAAGCAGGAUCGAUGUCUGCAUUCUCCA
This 73-nucleotide transfer RNA is filed under the name Perca fluviatilis (European perch). It matches the Rfam family "tRNA". Rfam says of the family: Transfer RNA (tRNA) molecules are approximately 80 nucleotides in length. The record is from Rfam by way of RNAcentral. Lineage: Eukaryota; Metazoa; Chordata; Actinopteri; Perciformes; Percidae.